GUUAUUUUUGGUGUAUGAAUCAUGUCUAAUUAUGGAUCCUACAGUAGAUGAGCCAAUCUGGACUGACUUUUGUUAACACACAGUCAUGACCACAUUCAAGUUGCUUUUGUGCUGGAUGGUUUCCAGACACUGCAAUAGCAUCUUUCAGAAAAGAGCUUUUAUUAUCUGUAAAGCUGAUGGGGUUCAAGGAGCAUUUGGACACCGCUUUCAGACAUAGAGUUUGGUUUUUGGGUGGUGCUAUGCAGAGUCCUGGUUUGGACUCAGUGAUCUUUGUGGGUCCUUUCCAGUUCAGGAUAUUCUAUGGUUUUAUGGUUCAGAAACAAAGGAAGUGUGGAUGGUGUUUAUCCAACCUAAAAUCUUUGAGGUUUGGAGUUUGUCUUGAAUUUUGCUGGUGUCUUUCUUACCUCCUCAAAACUGAAAGGAAGAAGCAAAGAAGAAAUGACAGGUAGGGAUACCAGAUGUUCAAAUUUGAGAUCCUUCAGGAAGAUUAAGUGAUGAUUGGUUUCCAAACAUUUUUUGGAAGGGUAUGCCAAAAGAGUGGAACAUUUCUACACUUUAAAUCUGCACUUUGGAGUGUGGUAUUGUGACGAUGGAAAUUUGCUUUGAUGUAAUGUUUGCUGUCCUGGACUGUGUGAGAGACUGUCAAGCAUAUCUCAGGAGCAGCAGGCAUUUCUGGUAAAUGCAUGCAGAAGCCAGUCACCUCUAUGUUUAAAACUUAAGUAUAUGCCGGUUUACAUCUUAUUUUAUAGUUCUCAGUGGUACAGUUUGCCAGAUGAGAAGUCUGAUCUCCCCUCCAGCACUCCACCCCAAUUCCAAGUGGUUCUGAAAGUGUCACAGAAUCUUAAAUACACAAAAUAGUAGGGGUUGGAGGGCAUCUCUGGAGAUCAUAGAGUCCAACCCCCUGCUAAAGCUGGUUCCCUACAGUAGGUCAGGAAAGCAUCCAGAUGGAUGUUGAUGGCCAGAGAAGAAGACUCCACAACCUGGGAUGCCCUUUCUAGUGCUCCUUCACUCUGACAGUAAAUAUGUUUUUCUUCAUGUUUGUGUUGAAAUUCCUGUCUUCCAGUUUGUGCCUAUCACCCCUUGUCCUGUCACUGGGCACCACUGAAAAGAGCCUGGCCCCAUCCACUCAACUCCUGCCCUUUAGAUAUUUGUAAGCAUUGAUUAGAUCCCCCUUCAGCCUCCUCCAGGCUGAACAGUCACAGGCCUUCCUCAUAAGGGUGAUAGAUGCUCCAGGCCUCUCUUCACCUUCAUGACCCUUCGCAGCAUUCUAGAAUUUCCCUGGGGAGUCCAGGACUAGAGUUUAGGCUUAAACCCUGACAAAUGGUUUUAAUGAAUGAAUACAGCAUGUUUUAAAGCAUUUCUUUUAAAGAUAUUUUGUCUUUGUAAAGAAUAUUUUUGGUAAGGAAUAGCCUUGGCUUUAACAUAAAGAUAAUUAUCACUCAGAAUUAUUCUACAUUGCAAUUCCUAAGUGACUCAUGCUCUUGACUUUCCCAUCCAUGCCUGCAAGAUAGUGAGAUGCAUGCAAAAUGAAUAUACUGGUUAAAUUUCCACUCAUGAAAAUCCAGUCAUAAGGAUUUAAUGCUAUAUCAGCCACUAGGAAUGUAGUGAACCCACUGCAUACAUGUAAAUCUAAGUUUAUAGAAAGACUGCCUGAAUCGGUAAUUAUAAGUCAAAAAGGAGGCCUAACUAUAUGAAAACACUUCAGAAAAUUUCAAAUAUACCUCCAGCAUGCAAAGUGGCCCUAUGUAUGCUUUCCAGAUAUUGGAUGCUUUUGAGCUCAAAAACCUCUGCAAGGUAUAAAGCAAAGCAUCAAGGAAAAAUAGAGGAUUGUUCCAGAAUAAUUUCUGGUAAACAAUUUUCUGCUUUCCAGUUUGCUUUGUUUAGACAAAUUCCUUUCAAAGGUCUCUGUGUCUCUUAGAAAUAUAUCUUUUUAUUUUUUUUUUUACUUUUUUUUUUCCCCUUUGGCUGUCAAUUUAUUUUCUAUUAAAAAAAAAAAAAAGAAAAAAAAAAACAAAUUUGGCUGUAGGAUUCAUCCUUUCCUCAGCCAGUGAGGGCUGACUGCUGAUUGCUCCCUUUGAGGAGCCCUGAAAACAGUCAUUUCAUUUAUUGCAGUUGUAGCAGUAAUGAACUGCUCACAGCUGAUGCUUGUGUGCAGCCUGUGAUUCAUGAAGAACACAGAAUAUAAUUCCAGCAUACUCAGAAAUGCCACUUUGAAAAGAAUUUAAUGACACAUUUCUUUUGCAAUAUUCAGACAGAAAAGACUCAAGUGAGGAGAGAUGGAUGGCAGAGGAAUAUCAGGACUUCACAAGAUAAUGUGUUCAGUACAGAAAGGAAAAUAUUUUAGCAAAACUUUCUGAUUUAACUACAUUUGUGAGACAAUAUAUUACCUUUUCACACUCUCCUUGUUUUAUGUAUGUUUGUGUUCCACAAAAUUAAACUGAGGACAGAUUUUAUUGUAGAGAAUAGAGAGAAGUGCAGUUUAUUUUCAUUUUUAUGUACUUCAUUGGAAAUUACUUAAAGAAUAUUAUUUCAGAGCAUUAUUCAAAAAUUGUCAUUUACUAUGCUCACCGGUAGUGUUCUAUAAAACUAUAAACUUCUCAGCCUCCGGAUAUCAAUGUUAUGUUGUUAUGAGUUUACUAGGAAGUAAACUCCUUUAUCAUUCUUUUGCUUUGUUAUCAAGUAAAGAUUUUUAUAAAUUUGAAGACAGGUCCAUUGAAUAUAUAAAUAACAUAAAUGUUUUCUGAAUAAUGUGUGUAGUCUUUUGAGGAAACUGAGCUACUGUAAGAAGAGAGAGAAAACUUUGUGUAUCAGGCUAUUACGCAGUUUCUAGUUACUGCUAGUUUGGUUAUACCAUCUGUCCAUUUGUUUUCUUUUAUGUUUCUGGUUUGGUUUACUGACUGUGCUUGCAGUCUGAGCCUUUACAACAUACUGAUUGAACUCAACAGAUCAGGUUGGAAGUUGGAUUUUGGAGGUCUUUCCCAGCAUAGAUGAUUCUAUGUACAUACAAAACUUUUCCAUUUCUCAGGUACCUUCCAGCCUUCACUAAUGACUGAUCAGCCACUAAAACAAAUAGGUAAUGACCAUGUGAAGUGAAAAUGCUAAGUCAUGGCUUGAAACAGUGAUAGAGCACCUGAUGAGAAGGCAGAGCCAACCCAAAGGAGCUCAGGUGCAUGCAAUACAAUGGAUCCUGGCUCCACCCCUUCCCAGACCUCAUUUAAGGGUUGGCAGCAGAGACAAGGCUAUCUUGCUGGAGAUCCUUGUGUACUAGAGGCUUUAUAAGGAGCUCCGUCAAAAGGAGAAAGAAAUUAGAUAACAAGUGCAUGCAUGUGUGAGUGCUUGUGGGACUAAAUUCAUGUGAAAUACUGGACCUGAUUGCUGGGCUCAUAAAAAGCAAGGGGAGAAAAUGGGAAGAACCAGACUAAGAAACCUCUUGGGAUGAGUUAAACAUGGGAAAAUUGCUCACUGGUUACUAUCACAGACAGAACAAACUCAAACUUAACUAUCUUAAGGCUGUUUUAUUCCUUUGCUCCAAACUACCAGCUUCCCACACCAAGUGGUGCAGCAGCAGAUUCUGAAGUUUUCUUGGACAUAUGAAGAGCUGUGAAGAAGUUGGACAUUUAACAACAACAACAGAUUCUGAUCUCCUUUCUCUGUCCUAUUCUAACAAUGAUUGAAAACAUCAUUUUGAGUAUCUUUUCAUCCUUUAAAAAGUCAUAAAAACAAAAACCAGGUCUGUGCUAUUGCUCUGUAACUACAAUUCAGUUUUCUUCCAGUGUGAAAAAGCCAUAAAAGUAUACAGUAUCUUUCCUUCUCUGUUCAUUUUAAGGUUCAAUUUGGUAUAUUUAUGGCAAUUAUAUAAACAUAAUUUUAGUCAUGUCUUUCACUUCAGAAAUAAUUGUUUAUAGAGUAAUUACUAAUAAGAGAGCAUUUCUGGUGAAUGUGAAUGCUAAUUAACUAGGUCUUCCCAAGGUGUCUUUACUGAAGACAUGUUAUUGAUCACUGAAGCUAAGUUGGGAAAAUUCAUCAAGUCUCCUGGAAACUGUUCUCUGUUUAAGAUAUAAAUAUUUUUUUAAAAAUUCAAAUAUUUAAGAGUAAAAUGUGUGUGAAUUCCUUAAAGCCAUCAGUGCACCUUACUCUUGUAAGGCUUUUAUUCUUGUGUAGAUCAUAGAAUCAUCUGAGAUAGAUACUUGCUGUUUAUGAACUUCAGAGAGACUCUGUGAAUACUCAGCAUUGUGCUUCUGACUCAACUGUGCUUUCAAGCUUUUCCUUGCAGAAGGGCUGAGGAACCUCUCAUUACACAGAGAUAUAUAUUUUGUAUAAACCUUGUGAAGAGAAGUCAUAAUCUACAUGUAUAUACUUUUUCAAAAAACUUGAAAAGAAAUGUUUAUCAAAAAGAAUUAAAUUAAUUAAUUUUGGGAUAAUUAAUCCC
This is a long non-coding RNA of Gallus gallus (chicken), 4429 nucleotides long. RefSeq lists it as uncharacterized. The transcript is spliced from 4 exons. NCBI's taxonomy places the organism in Eukaryota, Metazoa, Chordata, Aves, Galliformes, Phasianidae. The record is from RefSeq and is a predicted model, not a curated record.